UACGAACGGUUCGAACGUUGUUCGGAUUCACUGGGCUUAAAGGGCGCGUAGGCGGACCACCAAGUCCGGGGUGAAAUCCUCCGGCUUAACCGGAGAAUUGCCUGGGAUACUGGUGGUCUUGAGGGAGGUAGGGGCACGCGGAACUUCCGGUGGAGCGGUGAAAUGCGUUGAUAUCGGAAGGAACGCCGGUGGCGAAAGCGGCGUGCUGGCCAUCUUCUGACGCUGAGGCGCGAAAGCCAGGGGAGCGAACGGG
Molecule: ribosomal RNA, 253 nt
Filed under: uncultured bacterium
Lineage: Bacteria
Description: partial 16S ribosomal RNA
Rfam family: Bacterial small subunit ribosomal RNA
Source: RNAcentral